GAAAAGAAACUAACAAGGAUUCCCCUAGUAACUGCGAGUGAAGCGGGAAAAGCUCAAAUUUAAAAUCUGGUAGUCUUUGGCUGCCCGAGUUGUAAUCUAGAGAAGCGUUAUCCGCGCUGGACCGUGUAUAAGUCUCCUGGAAUGGAGCGUCAUAGAGGGUGAGAAUCCCGUCUUUAACACGGACUCCCAGGGCUUUGUGAUGCGCUCUCAAAGAGUCGAGUUGUUUGGGAAUGCAGCUCUAAAUGGGUGGUAAAUUCCAUCUAAAGCUAAAUAUUGGCGAGAGACCGAUAGCGAACAAGUACCGUGAGGGAAAGAUGAAAAGAACUUUGGAAAGAGAGUUAAACAGUACGUGAAAUUGUUGAAAGGGAAACGCUUGAAGUCAGUCGCGUUGAUCAGGGAUCAACCUUGCUUUUGCUUGGUGUACUUCCUGGUUAACGGGUCAGCAUCAAUUUUGACCAGUGGAAAAAGGUCAGGGGAAUGUGGCAUCUUCGGAUGUGUUAUAGCCUCUGGUCAUAUACAUUGGUUGGGAUUGAGGAACUCAGCACGCCGCAAGGCCGGGUUUUACCACGUUCGUGCUUAGGAUGCUNGCAUNA
This 593-nucleotide ribosomal RNA is filed under the name Entoloma praestans. RNAcentral describes it as "partial large subunit ribosomal RNA". It matches the Rfam family "Eukaryotic large subunit ribosomal RNA", at positions 56 to 634 of the family's 3401-position model. Lineage: Eukaryota; Fungi; Basidiomycota; Agaricomycetes; Agaricales; Entolomataceae. The record is from RNAcentral.